CCUACGGGAGGCAGCAGUGGGGAAUUUUGGACAAUGGGCGAAAGCCUGAUCCAGCCAUGCCGCGUGAGUGAAGAAGGCCUUCGGGUUGUAAAGCUCUUUCGGCCGGAACGAAAUCGCACCCGUGAAUAUCGGGUGUGGAUGACGGUACCGGAAGAAGAAGGACCGGCUAACUACGUGCCAGCAGCCGCGGUAAUACGUAGGGUCCGAGCGUUAAUCGGAAUUACUGGGCGUAAAGCGUGCGCAGGCGGUUUUGUAAGCCAGUCGUGAAAUCCCCGGGCUUAACCUGGGAAUGGCGAUUGGGACUGCAAGGCUCGAGUGCGGCAGAGGGGGGUGGAAUUCCACGUGUAGCAGUGAAAUGCGUAGAUAUGUGGAGGAACAUCAAUGGCGAAGGCAGCCCCCUGGGUCGACACUGACGCUCAUGCACGAAAGCGUGGGGAGCAAACAGGAUUAGAUACCCGUGGUAGUCCACGCCCUAAACUAUGUACAACUAGUUGUAGGAGAUGAACUUCUUAGUACGCAGCUAACGCGUAGAAGUUGACCGCGUAGGGGAGUACGGUCGCAAGAAUUAAAACCGUUAAGUGAAGUUCGACGGCGUAGAGACGUACGACCGACGGACGACGACGAGGGAGGAGG
RNAcentral lists this ribosomal RNA (633 nucleotides) under uncultured bacterium. RNAcentral's name for it is "bacterial SSU rRNA". It matches the Rfam family "Bacterial small subunit ribosomal RNA", at positions 338 to 1414 of the family's 1533-position model. The record is from RNAcentral.